CACUCUCCGAUGUCAGGGUUUGAAGAUUUAGGAAUAUGGAGGGGAGCUGCAAUGUCGAGCUUGGAGGAGGCGUACCAAGGUUUGCACUAGAGUUCUUGGGAACGGGUCAACGUUGGCAUCAGGUUGAGUAUAUAUACUAGAUUUGCUCCAGCCAGCAAAAAUGAAAAUCAGCACCACUAGUCUCUGGCUCUCUGUUGCAUAUGACUAGCAACGCGAAACAUGCAGUUGAGAAUUUUCACUGUUAAAAGAAGAUUUGAACUAUAUGGACCACCGUUUCUCCCUCAGUCUUUCUCACUAAGCACAGAUGUUUGUACUGCCAUACCUCUGCAAUUUAGGUUCUGCUUGGUUUAAAAGAUGAUCUUUGCUAUACCUCCAUGACUUGAGUUUGCUUGACACAACCAUUCUCCAGUACUAGUCACUUGUGCAGAAAUCACAAUCCAUACCCGACUCCCUUGUCCUACCCAUUACACCCUGGCUCCAUGAGGUCGUAAUCCAUUCCUGUCCAAUGCCAUGAGUCAUUGUGCAAAGUGGUGGUGGAUUUUGGACCCCAGAGUGUUGUUUCUCUGCUGGAAUGGUUAUGCUCCAAAUGAAGCAGCAGUCAAGGGUUAAAUUUACCAUAUACUUCAAGUCGAGAUUUUUGAGCAAUGGUGUCAAAUCACGCUGCUAGUUCUAUUAAUCUUUGUAAUUUCUGGCAUGCUGAGUGGACAAGGUUUGUAUUGUAUCUUGCUGCAGCUACUAACAAUUUUGAGAGGAGAAGUUUGGUUACGGAGGAGAUGCAAAGUGUUUGGCGGGUUGUAAGUCUCCACCAUUAGUAGUCCAUCUCCAUUAAUAUGGUGCAAUAAUAUAUAAGACAUUCUUAUAUAUGUUUUUGCUUUAAGAAACUUUGAUUGGUGGAGUUGUUUUUUGUAUCUGAUAACUUUCAUUGAAAAAGAAUACA
Rosa chinensis is the source of this 937-nucleotide long non-coding RNA. RefSeq lists it as uncharacterized. The record is from RefSeq and is a predicted model, not a curated record. The transcript is spliced from 2 exons. Lineage: Eukaryota; Viridiplantae; Streptophyta; Magnoliopsida; Rosales; Rosaceae.